RNAcentral lists this ribosomal RNA (465 nucleotides) under Vreelandella stevensii. Its description in RNAcentral is "partial 16S ribosomal RNA". It matches the Rfam family "Bacterial small subunit ribosomal RNA", at positions 338 to 795 of the family's 1533-position model. The record is from RNAcentral. Lineage: Bacteria; Pseudomonadati; Pseudomonadota; Gammaproteobacteria; Oceanospirillales; Halomonadaceae.
CCUACGGGUGGCAGCAGUGGGGAAUAUUGGACAAUGGGGGGAACCCUGAUCCAGCCAUGCCGCGUGUGUGAAGAAGGCCCUCGGGUUGUAAAGCACUUUCAGUGAGGAAGAACGCCUGGUGGUUAAUACCCAUCAGGAAAGACAUCACUCACAGAAGAAGCACCGGCUAACUCCGUGCCAGCAGCCGCGGUAAUACGGAGGGUGCGAGCGUUAAUCGGAAUUACUGGGCGUAAAGCGCGCGUAGGUGGCUUGAUAAGCCGGUUGUGAAAGCCCCGGGCUCAACCUGGGAACGGCAUCCGGAACUGUCAAGCUAGAGUGCAGGGGAGGAAGGUAGAAUUCCCGGUGGAGCGGUGAAAAGCGUUGAGGUCGGGAGGAAUACCAGUGGCGAAGGCGGCCUUCUGGACUGACACUGACACUGAGGUGCGAAAGCGUGGGUAGCCAACAGGAUUAGAUACCCUAGUAGUC